UAAAAAUGUCUCUCCUUGCCUAUGCUCUCCAGUAGAGUAUCACUUUUUCUUGUAAGAAAUUAAUUUUACACUAUGGUAUACUUUCAGAUGUGGACCUCAACCCCCUGACAAGUGUAGGUAUUAUCAGGACCGUGUGCUGACUUUCUCUGGGGUAUUGUGCUGCUGAGCACAGUAACAAGAGGCAACGUGUGGCUCUGAGCUGAGCAUGAAGAUUGUUGUGAGAAUACCUGACAGCUUUUGAAAAGUAUAAAUAGAGACAACGGAGAGGAAAUAAGUGCCUGUCUUGUACUUCUGCUGGAUAUACUGGGCUCCUAGCCAACUUCUAAAUUGAAGCCAAUGGCAUUGCAUAGGGCAUAAGCCAGUGCAGACUUUAUUCUUGCAAUUUUCUACAAAUUGCAGGGUCUUACUAUCACAACAGGUGGCUGUUCAAACCCUGUUGGGGAGGCUGCAGAGAGUACUUGAAAGUGAAGGUGGAUCAGACUGCUGAAUGCCGCGCAGUUUUCAUUUGACCACCCUCUGCACGUGUUACGAAACAGCUUGUGAUCACAUGGCUUUUUGCUUGUAAAACCAGCACAUCAUUUUUGCAAACA
Molecule: long non-coding RNA, 590 nt
Filed under: Anas platyrhynchos platyrhynchos (common mallard)
Lineage: Eukaryota; Metazoa; Chordata; Aves; Anseriformes; Anatidae
Description: lncRNA (ENSAPLG00000019997.1)
Source: RNAcentral